GGCAGCAUAAGAGUGGGCGUGGUCUUUAGCCAAAACGUAGAGCCUGGACACUCCUUGACGUUGACUGGACCAAACACGCUUGACGGCCUUUCGAAGGAGACCAGUUCUCCGUUGAUCCCCAUGUCCUGGAUGCAUCCAACAAAGGAGGAUGUGACAGGAAGCCUCUGCUGCAUUAAGAUCGCUGCAGCAGAAACGGACAGAAAGCCUGAUCCUGCCCUUCGACAUGUAUAAAGCAAGAUGAGAUUGCCCUCCUCUGGUUGCAGCAAAGAACAGCAUGCCUUCAUGCGAUCGAGUCCUG
Molecule: long non-coding RNA, 298 nt
Organism: Pelmatolapia mariae (spotted tilapia)
Lineage: Eukaryota; Metazoa; Chordata; Actinopteri; Cichliformes; Cichlidae
Exons: 3
Source: RefSeq, a predicted model, not a curated record